This 244-nucleotide long non-coding RNA is filed under the name Callithrix jacchus (white-tufted-ear marmoset). RNAcentral describes it as "lncRNA (ENSCJAG00000063626.2)". Lineage: Eukaryota; Metazoa; Chordata; Mammalia; Primates; Cebidae. The record is from RNAcentral.
AACAACAUUGCAAAUAAGAAUAUUAAGAAUAUUAACAGAGCUGUACAGGACUGUUGGCUGCAACACUUGGGACAUUUAGGUAAGAAAAGGUGUCACACUUUUCUGCCUCCGCAAAGCCAACUGAGAGUAGGAGGGUUAUAAGAGAAACCAAAAUCCCAUUAUUUGGAUGGAUAUGUGAGAAAUUCAUAGGCACUGUAAUGCUGUCACUAAAGAUAUUUCCAUAACUUUGAUGAGGAAAAGUGGA